Molecule: transfer RNA, 86 nt
Filed under: Candidatus Kuenenbacteria bacterium CG10_big_fil_rev_8_21_14_0_10_36_11
Lineage: Bacteria; Candidatus Kueneniibacteriota
Also listed under: 1 other name
Description: tRNA-Ser
Rfam family: tRNA
About the family: Transfer RNA (tRNA) molecules are approximately 80 nucleotides in length. Their secondary structure includes four short double-helical elements and three loops (D, anti-codon, and T loops).
Source: RNAcentral
GGAAGGGUGGCCGAGCUGGUUUAAGGCGACGGUCUCGAACACCGUUUGGGAGCAAUCCCUCCAGGGUCCGAAUCCCUGCCCUUCCG